This 986-nucleotide small RNA is filed under the name uncultured Gemmatimonas sp. RNAcentral describes it as "bacterial SSU rRNA". The stretch from base 1 to 492 matches the Rfam family "Bacterial small subunit ribosomal RNA", at positions 1045 to 1533 of the family's 1533-position model. The record is from RNAcentral. Lineage: Bacteria; Pseudomonadati; Gemmatimonadota; Gemmatimonadia; Gemmatimonadales; Gemmatimonadaceae.
AUGGCUGUCGUCAGCUCGUGCCGUGAGAUGUUGGGUUAAGUCCCGCAACGAGCGCAACCCCCGUUCCCAGUUGCCAGCGAGUAAUGUCGGGGACUCUGGGAAGACUGCCGGUGCCAAACCGGAGGAAGGUGGGGACGACGUCAAGUCAUCAUGGUCCUUACGUCUAGGGCUACACACGUGCUACAAUGGUCGGUACAGUGGGUUGCGAGCCAGCGAUGGCAAGCCAAUCCCUUAAAGCCGCCCUCAGUGCGGAUUGGAGGCUGCAACUCGCCUCCAUGAAGCUGGAAUCGCUAGUAAUCGUGGAUCAGCUACGCCACGGUGAAUACGUUCCCGGGCCUUGUACACACCGCCCGUCACGCCAUGGAAGCUGUGAGCGCCCGAAGUCCGUGCAGCAACCCGCAAGGGGGCAAGCGGCCGAAGGCGAGCGCAGUGACUGGGGCGAAGUCGUAACAAGGUAGCCGUAGGGGAACCUGCGGCUGGAUCACCUCCUUAACGGACAUUCGAGUAGGUCAGCGAUCGGGUGCAGGGAACCGCAAGGGACCCUGCGCACAGCCGUCUGACUGAAAGAGUCUGUAAGUCGCUCGUCUCGACACAUCCAAUCCCAAAUUCAAUUUCUGCUUAGACGCCGCGUGCCCUGGCGAUGCCAGGGCACGGUGAGCGUCGACGCUAUUUGACAACGGAAGAACAUGGUAGAAUCGCGGAUUUGAGAAUCCUUUAUUGAGGACUAUCAAUUUCGUCUUGCCGCGAUCGCGGGCGUUUUGCGCCAGCGGUCGUCAGAGACGUUUGAAGAUUGUCACUCGAAAAGUCAGUCAUUGAAGUAGAUCGUACCGCUCUGCUUGAACCACAGAUUGUUGUAGUCAAGCGAGCGAAGGCAUGUGGGGGAUGCCUGGGCACACGGAGGCGAGGAAGGCCGUGGUAAGCUGCGAUAAGCCAGGGGGAGCGGCACACACGCAAUGAUCCCUGGAUGGCCGAAUGGGGAAACCCGG